Molecule: ribosomal RNA, 443 nt
Filed under: Perccottus glenii (Chinese sleeper)
Lineage: Eukaryota; Metazoa; Chordata; Actinopteri; Gobiiformes; Odontobutidae
Description: SSU rRNA
Rfam family: Eukaryotic small subunit ribosomal RNA
Source: RNAcentral
AUUAAGCCAUGCAAGUCUAAGUACACACGGCCGGUACAGUGAAACUGCGAAUGGCUCAUUAAAUCAGUUAUGGUUCCUUUGAUCGCUCUACCGUUACUUGGAUAACUGUGGCAAUUCUAGAGCUAAUACAUGCCAACGAGCGCUGACCUCCGGGGAUGCGUGCAUUUAUCAGACCCAAAACCCAUGCGGGUGCGCCCCUCGGGGCUCCCCGGCCGCUUUGGUGACUCUAGAUAACCUCGAGCCGAUCGCUGGCCCUCGUGGCGGCGACGUCUCAUUCGAAUGUCUGCCCUAUCAACUUUCGAUGGUACUUUCUGUGCCUACCAUGGUGACCACGGGUAACGGGGAAUCAGGGUUCGAUUCCGGAGAGGGAGCCUGAGAAACGGCUACCACAUCCAAGGAAGGCAGCAGGCGCGCAAAUUACCCACUCCCGACUCGGGGAGGUA